Molecule: transfer RNA, 75 nt
Filed under: Dialister pneumosintes
Lineage: Bacteria; Bacillati; Bacillota; Negativicutes; Veillonellales; Veillonellaceae
Also listed under: 2 other names
Description: tRNA-Gln
Rfam family: tRNA
About the family: Transfer RNA (tRNA) molecules are approximately 80 nucleotides in length.
Source: RNAcentral
GGGGGUAUAGCCAAGUGGUAAGGCAACGGACUUUGACUCCGUUAUGCGGCAGUUCGAUUCUGCCUACCCCUGCCA